UCUAAAUUAUUUAGGUAGUACUAUUUUUCAAAAAAACCUUUAUAAAAUGGCGGCAUUUUAUCUUAUUAGAGGAACAUGUUUAAUAAUCGAUAACACACGUUAAUUUUCACUUAUUUAAAAAUUUUAUAUACCUCCGUCCUGAAUUUAUUUAAUUUAUAUUCAAAAAAAAAGCUAAUAGGUUAGGUAAAGGUGUAGACAACAUAUAAGUAAUUAAUGUGUUACAUUAAAAACAAUUUGAAGGAAAUUUAUUUAAAAAUAUCUAAAAAAUAGGAUUUAAAAGUAAAUUUUCAAUAAUAUUUUUAUUUGAAUAAGAAUAUAAAUGUGU
RNAcentral lists this ribosomal RNA (325 nucleotides) under Ero sp. GH1013. Its description in RNAcentral is "partial 12S ribosomal RNA". The record is from RNAcentral. Lineage: Eukaryota; Metazoa; Arthropoda; Arachnida; Araneae; Mimetidae.